Molecule: ribosomal RNA, 21 nt
Filed under: fungal endophyte
Lineage: Eukaryota; Fungi
Also listed under: 1 other name
Description: partial 28S ribosomal RNA
Source: RNAcentral
GCAUAUCAAUUAAAGCGGAGG